Molecule: transfer RNA, 80 nt
Filed under: Hyphomicrobiales bacterium
Lineage: Bacteria; Pseudomonadati; Pseudomonadota; Alphaproteobacteria; Hyphomicrobiales
Description: tRNA-Arg
Rfam family: tRNA
About the family: Transfer RNA (tRNA) molecules are approximately 80 nucleotides in length. Their secondary structure includes four short double-helical elements and three loops (D, anti-codon, and T loops). Further hydrogen bonds mediate the characteristic L-shaped molecular structure. tRNAs have two regions of fundamental functional importance: the anti-codon, which is responsible for specific mRNA codon recognition, and the 3' end, to which the tRNAs corresponding amino acid is attached (by aminoacyl-tRNA synthetases). tRNAs cope with the degeneracy of the genetic code in two manners: having more than one tRNA (with a specific anti-codon) for a particular amino acid; and 'wobble' base-pairing, i.e. permitting non-standard base-pairing at the 3rd anti-codon position.
Source: RNAcentral
AUCGAGUGUAGCUUAACUGGACAAAGCCCCCGGUUUCUAGCCGGGGAGAUGCAGGUUCGAAUCCUUGCCACUCGCUACCA